Molecule: ribosomal RNA, 198 nt
Filed under: uncultured bacterium
Lineage: Bacteria
Description: partial 16S ribosomal RNA
Rfam family: Bacterial small subunit ribosomal RNA
Source: RNAcentral
GGCUGAAAUUCGCCUUCAUGAAGUCGGAAUUGCUAGUAAUGGCAGGUCAGCAUACUGCCGUGAAUACGUUCCCGGGCCUUGUACACACCGCCCGUCACACCAUGAGAGUCGGGAACACCCGAAGUCCGUAGCCUAACCGCAAGGGGGGCGCGGCCGAAGGUGGGUCCGGUAAUUGGGGUGAAGUCGUAACAAGGUAGC